GACGAACGCUGGCGGCGUGCCUAACACAUGCAAGUCGAACGAAGCUCUGCGAUACAAGACUUCGGUCAAGUUGAACAGAUGACUUAGUGGCGGACGGGUGAGUAACGCGUGAGGAACCUGCCUUUCAAUGGGGGACAACAGUUGGAAACGACUGCUAAUACCGCAUAAUGUAUUCUGACCGCAUGAUCGGAAUACCAAAGAUUUAUUGCUGAAAGAUGGCCUCGCGUCUGAUUAGAUAGUUGGUGAGGUAACGGCUCACCAAGUCGACGAUCAGUAGCCGGACUGAGAGGUUGAACGGCCACAUUGGGACUGAGAUACGGCCCAGACUCCUACGGGAGGCAGCAGUGGGGAAUAUUGGGCAAUGGGGGAAACCCUGACCCAGCAACGCCGCGUGAAGGAAGAAGGUCUUCGGAUUGUAAACUUCUUUAUUAAGGACGAAGAAAGUGACGGUACUUAAUGAAUAAGCUCCGGCUAACUACGUG
RNAcentral lists this ribosomal RNA (482 nucleotides) under uncultured bacterium. RNAcentral's name for it is "bacterial SSU rRNA". It matches the Rfam family "Bacterial small subunit ribosomal RNA", at positions 28 to 507 of the family's 1533-position model. The record is from RNAcentral.